Small nucleolar RNA from Suncus etruscus (white-toothed pygmy shrew), 133 nucleotides. RefSeq annotates it as U8 small nucleolar RNA. The record is from RefSeq and is a predicted model, not a curated record. Lineage: Eukaryota; Metazoa; Chordata; Mammalia; Eulipotyphla; Soricidae. The transcript has a single exon.
CUGUAAGGUGGGAUAAUCUUUAUGUUCCUCUUUUCAGAGGGCAGAUAGAACAUGGUGAUUGGAGUGUGUAUGAUUUGUGAUUAACAUCUCUGCACGAUUAAGGCUCAUAGCACCCUAAUUACUUCUAUCUGAU